This 502-nucleotide unclassified non-coding RNA is filed under the name uncultured Diversispora. Its description in RNAcentral is "SSU rRNA". It matches the Rfam family "Eukaryotic small subunit ribosomal RNA", at positions 591 to 1092 of the family's 1831-position model. The record is from RNAcentral. Lineage: Eukaryota; Fungi; Glomeromycota; Glomeromycetes; Diversisporales; Diversisporaceae.
CCAAUAGCGUAUAUUAAAGUUGUUGCAGUUAAAAAGCUCGUAGUUGAACUUCGGGGUUCACCCAUUGGUCAGGCUUAAUUGUCUGUACUGGUGAGAUGAGUCUCUACCUUCUGAGGAACUUUCAUGCCAUUUAUUUGGUGUGAUGGGAAAUCAGGACUGUUACUUUGAAAAAAUUAGAGUGUUUAAAGCAGGCUAACGUCUGAAUACAUUAGCAUGGAAUAAUGAAAUAGGACGGAUUGAUUCUAUUUCGUUGGUUUCUAGGAUCACCGUAAUGAUUAAUAGGGAUAGUUGGGGGCAUUAGUAUUCAAUUGUCAGAGGUGAAAUUCUUGGAUUUAUUGAAGACUAACUACUGCGAAAGCAUUUGCCAAGGAUGUUUUCAUUAAUCAAGAACGAAAGUUAGGGGAUCGAAGACGAUCAGAUACCGUCGUAGUCUUAACCAUAAACUAUGCCGACUAGGGAUCGGACGAAGUUAAUUUUAUAAUGACGCGUUCGGCACCUUACG